RNAcentral lists this ribosomal RNA (464 nucleotides) under uncultured bacterium. RNAcentral's name for it is "bacterial SSU rRNA". It matches the Rfam family "Bacterial small subunit ribosomal RNA", at positions 330 to 792 of the family's 1533-position model. The record is from RNAcentral.
UCCAGACUCCUACGGGAGGCAGCAGUGAGGAAUAUUGGUCAAUGGCCGGGAGGCUGAACCAGCCAAGUCGCGUGAGGGAAGACGGCCCUACGGGUUGUAAACCUCUUUUGUCAGGGAGCAAGGUGCAGGUCGGGACCUGCUGUGAGAGUACCUGAAGAAAAAGCAUCGGCUAACUCCGUGCCAGCAGCCGCGGUAAUACGGAGGAUGCGAGCGUUAUCCGGAUUUAUUGGGUUUAAAGGGUGCGCAGGCGGAGGCACAAGUCAGGGGAAAAACCGCGGGGCCCACCCCCGCUCCGCCGUUGAAACUGUGUCCCUUGAGUGCGCGAAGGGUAGGCGGAAUGCGUGGUGUAGCGGUGAAAUGCAUAGAUAUCACGCAGAACCCCGAUUGCGAAGGCAGCAUGCCGGCUUCCUACUGACGCUGAAGCACGAAAGCGUGGGGAUCGAACAGGAUUAGAUACCCUCGUA